GACGUAGGGGGCCAGCGUUGUUCGGAAUUACUGGGUGUAAAGGGUUCGUAGGCGGUGUGGCAAGUCGGGAGUGAAAUUUCUGGGCUUAACUCAGAACCUGCUUCCGAAACUGCUGUGCUCGAGUGUGGGAGAGGCGCGUGGAAUUGCAGGUGUAGCGGUGAAAUGCGUAGAUAUCGAGAGGAACACCGGUGGCGAAGGCGGCCUUCUGGACAGUGACUGACGCUGAGACACGAAAGCGUGGGGAGCAAACAGG
This 253-nucleotide ribosomal RNA is filed under the name uncultured prokaryote. RNAcentral's name for it is "partial 16S ribosomal RNA". It matches the Rfam family "Bacterial small subunit ribosomal RNA", at positions 524 to 776 of the family's 1533-position model. The record is from RNAcentral.